This 524-nucleotide ribosomal RNA is filed under the name uncultured bacterium. RNAcentral's name for it is "partial 16S ribosomal RNA". It matches the Rfam family "Bacterial small subunit ribosomal RNA", at positions 28 to 523 of the family's 1533-position model. The record is from RNAcentral.
GACGAACGCUGGCGGCGUGCCUAAUACAUGCAAGUCGAACGAAGCUGUUUUAACUGGUGCUUGCACCGACUUAAACAACUGAGCGGCGAACGGGUGAGUAACACGUGGGUAACCUGCCCCAAAGCGGGGGAUAACAUUUGGAAACAGAUGCUAAUACCGCAUAACCACAGAAACCACAUGGUUUCUGUGUCAAAGAUGGUUUCGGCUAUCACUUUGGGAUGGACCCGCGGCGUAUUAGCUAGUUGGUAAGGUAAUGGCUUACCAAGGCAAUGAUACGUAGCCGAACUGAGAGGUUGAUCGGCCACAUUGGGACUGAGACACGGCCCAAACGCCUACGGGAGGCAGCAGUAGGGAAUCUUCCACAAUGGACGAAAGUCUGAUGGAGCAACGCCGCGUGAGUGAAGAAGGUUUUCGGAUCGUAAAACUCUGUUGUCAGAGAAGAACGUGUGCGAGAGUAACUGCUCGUGCAGUGACGGUAUCUGGCCAGAAAGCCACGGCUAACUACGUGCCAGCAGCCGCCGUAA